This 574-nucleotide long non-coding RNA is filed under the name Mus musculus (house mouse). RNAcentral's name for it is "predicted gene, 32885, transcript variant 2 (Gm32885)". The record is from RNAcentral. Lineage: Eukaryota; Metazoa; Chordata; Mammalia; Rodentia; Muridae.
GAAGAGGGAAGAUGGCGGCGGCCGUGAACCAGCGUGGCCUUAACCAGCCAUAGUUAUGAUAUUAUAAGGCUCCUUUCCAUGUAGACCUGUGGGUGUCUGCCUGACCUGUAGUCUGAAGAUGCUCUUUCUGAAGUCUUAGGAGGGCCCCUCAGUGAGGAUGCCCGAAGCUGAAGGCUUUACUUCUGUUUCAAGGCAGUGAACAAGACGUGUGGUCUGAAGAUACACAACACCGAGACAGGACUGUGUGGUGCUCACAUGCCACGAGCAGAGUUCAAACAGCAUCCAAGCCCUAAAGACCAGAGCCAUGGACCAAUAUGGUGGAUGGCAUGUGUGCGCUUGUUCCAGAAGUGCUACUCAUCAUGGAGGCAAAUCCUGUGAGGACGUGGAAGACUUCACCUGGUUUCUCCGCUUUCCUCCCGGUGACACGGGGGAUACUUCGGGCAGAUACUGAACUGUCUGCUGCCAUUUACAGCCACAGUUACAUGGGAUUGUUUGUUCCUUCCCUGGGCUUCUACCUCUUCCUUGACUGGAACAGAAGCUAGGUGCUUAGAUAAACCUGGUCAAAUAUUUUAAA